This 360-nucleotide ribosomal RNA is filed under the name uncultured bacterium. Its description in RNAcentral is "bacterial SSU rRNA". It matches the Rfam family "Bacterial small subunit ribosomal RNA", at positions 29 to 418 of the family's 1533-position model. The record is from RNAcentral.
AACGAACGCUGGCGGCAGGCCUAAUACAUGCAAGUCGAACGCACCGCAAGGUGAGUGGCAGACGGGUGAGUAACGCGUGGGAACCUUCCUAGUAGUACGGAAUAACUCCGGGAAACCGGUGCUAAUACCGUAUAAGCCCUCCGGGGGAAAGAUUUAUCGCUACUAGAUGGGCCCGCGUCGGAUUAGCUUGUUGGUGAGGUAAUGGCUCACCAAGGCUUCGAUCCGUAGCUGGUCUGAGAGGAUGAUCAGCCACACUGGGACUGAGACACGGCCCAGACUCCUACGGGAGGCAGCAGUAGGGAAUAUUGGACAAUGGGCGAAAGCCUGAUCCAGCCAUGCCGCGUGAGCGAUGAAGGCCUU